Molecule: ribosomal RNA, 1369 nt
Filed under: uncultured beta proteobacterium
Lineage: Bacteria; Pseudomonadati; Pseudomonadota; Betaproteobacteria
Description: bacterial SSU rRNA
Rfam family: Bacterial small subunit ribosomal RNA
Source: RNAcentral
UUGAACGCUGGCGGCAUGCCUUACACAUGCAAGUCGAACGGCAGCACGGGUGCUUGCACCUGGUGGCGAGUGGCGAACGGGUGAGUAAUACAUCGGAACAUGUCCUGUAGUGGGGGAUAGCCCGGCGAAAGCCGGAUUAAUACCGCAUACGAUCUACGGAUGAAAGCGGGGGACCUUCGGGCCUCGCGCUAUAGGGUUGGCCGAUGGCUGAUUAGCUAGUUGGUGGGGUAAAGGCCUACCAAGGCGACGAUCAGUAGCUGGUCUGAGAGGACGACCAGCCACACUGGGACUGAGACACGGCCCAGACUCCUACGGGAGGCAGCAGUGGGGAAUUUUGGACAAUGGGCGAAAGCCUGAUCCAGCAAUGCCGCGUGUGUGAAGAAGGCCUUCGGGUUGUAAAGCACUUUUGUCCGGAAAGAAAUCCUUGGCUCUAAUACAGUCGGGGGAUGACGGUACCGGAAGAGUAAGCACCGGCUAACUACGUGCCAGCAGCCGCGGUAAUACGUAGGGUGCGAGCGUUAAUCGGAAUUACUGGGCGUAAAGCGUGCGCAGGCGGUUUGCUAAGACCGAUGUGAAAUCCCCGGGCUCAACCUGGGAACUGCAUUGGUGACUGGCAGGCUAGAGUAUGGCAGAGGGGGGGUAGAAUUCCCACGUGUAGCAGUGAAAUGCGUAGAGAUGUGGAGGAAUACCGAUGGCGAAGGCAGCCCCCUGGGCCAAUACUGACGCUCAUGCACGAAAGCGUGGGGGGAGCAAACAGGAUUAGAUACCCUGGUAGUCCACGCCCUAAACGAUGUCAACUAGUUGUUGGGGAUUCAUUUCCUUAGUAACGUAGCUAACGCGUGAAGUUGACCGCCUGGGGAGUACGGUCGCAAGAUUAAAACUCAAAGGAAUUGACGGGGACCCGCACAAGCGGUGGAUGAUGUGGAUUAAUUCGAUGCAACGCGAAAAACCUUACCUACCCUUGACAUGGUCGGAAUCCUGCUGAGAGGUGGGAGUGCUCGAAAGAGAACCGGCGCACAGGUGCUGCAUGGCUGUCGUCAGCUCGUGUCGUGAGAUGUUGGGUUAAGUCCCGCAACGAGCGCAACCCUUGUCCUUAGUUGCUACGCAAGAGCACUCUAAGGAGACUGCCGGUGACAAACCGGAGGAAGGUGGGGAUGACGUCAAGUCCUCAUGGCCCUUAUGGGUAGGGCUUCACACGUCAUACAAUGGUCGGAACAGAGGGUUGCCAACCCGCGAGGGGGAGCUAAUCCCAGAAAACCGAUCGUAGUCCGGAUUGCACUCUGCAACUCGAGUGCAUGAAGCUGGAAUCGCUAGUAAUCGCGGAUCAGCAUGCCGCGGUGAAUACGUUCCCGGGUCUUGUACACACCGC